GUUAUCGUUUAUUUGAUAGUACCUUUACCUGGAUAACCGUGGUAAUUCUAGAGCUAAUACAUGCUAAAAACCUCGACUUCGGAAGGGGUGUAUUUAUUAGAUAAAAAACCAAUGCCCUUCGGGGCUCCUUGGUGAAUCAUAAUAACUUAACGAAUCGCAUGGCCUUGCGCCGGCGAUGGUUCAUUCAAAUUUCUGCCCUAUCAACUUUCGAUGGUAAGAUAGAGGCUUACCAUGGUCUUAACGGGUAACGGGGAAUUAGGGUUCUAUUCCGGAGAGGGAGCCUGAGAAACGGCUACCACAUCCAAGGAAGGCAGCAGGCGCGCAAAUUACCCAAUCCCGACACGGGGAGGUAGUGACAAUAAAUACUGAUACGGGGCUCUUUUGGGUCUCGUAAUUGGAAUGAGUACAAUCUAAAUCCCUUAACGAGGAACAAUUGGAGGGCAAGUCUGGUGCCAGCAGCCGCGGUAAUUCCAGCUCCAAUAGCGUAUAUUAAAGUUGUUGCCGUUAAAAAGCUCGUAGUUGAACCUUGGGCCUGGCUGACCUGUCCUCCUAAUCGAGCGCACGGGUUCGGUCGGGCCUUUCCUUCUAGGGAACCCCAUGCCCUUCACUGGGUGUGGUGGGGAACUAGGACUUUUACCUUGAAAAAAUUAGAGUGUUCAAAGCAGGCCUUUGCUCGAAUACAUUAGCAUGGAAUAAUAGAAUAGGACAUCGGUUCUAUUUUGUUGGUUUCUAGGACCGCCGUAAU
Molecule: ribosomal RNA, 745 nt
Filed under: Chaetothyriales sp. A576
Lineage: Eukaryota; Fungi; Ascomycota; Eurotiomycetes; Chaetothyriales
Description: SSU rRNA
Rfam family: Eukaryotic small subunit ribosomal RNA
Source: RNAcentral